This 492-nucleotide ribosomal RNA is filed under the name uncultured bacterium. RNAcentral's name for it is "partial 16S ribosomal RNA". It matches the Rfam family "Bacterial small subunit ribosomal RNA", at positions 30 to 507 of the family's 1533-position model. The record is from RNAcentral.
AUUGAACGCUGGCGGUAGGCCUAACACAUGCAAGUCGAACGGCAACACCAUAACAGUUGGCGCCUAGUGGUGACGAGUGGCGGACGAGUGCGGAAUACACCGGGAUCUAGUGGUUAGCUGGGGGUAAGGUAGGGAAAUAUACGAUGAUAUCUAAUACGGACUACGGGUGAAAUCAGGGCAUCUUCGGACCUUACCCGCUUAAAUGAGCCGAUGUCGGAUUAGGUAGUUGGCGGGAUAAAGGCCCACCAAGGCGACGAUCCGUAGCUGGUCUGAGAGGACGAUCAGCCACACUGGAACUGAGACACGGCCCAGACUCCUACGGGAGGCAGCAGUGGGGAAUAUUGGACAAUGGGCGCAAGCCUGAUCCAGCAAUGCCGCGUGGAGGAUGAAGGCCUUCGGGUUGUAAAGUGCUUUUGUUCGGAAAGAAAAGCACUAGUCUAAUACAGGACGGUUCUGACGGUACCCAAAGAAUAAGCACCGGCUAACUUCGUG